CUAAAUAAAUUCAUACAUACUGUAAUACAGAUAACCAAAGUACAAAAUUUAAUUUACAGUGACACGUGGGCCCACGAACGACCAAAAGUAUCAAAAGCGGUAAACCUACAGUUUUUGAGGAUGCAAGUCCAACUGUAGCCCUCAACAAAGUGAGUUAUCUACCGACUAUCCUGAGCCUGAAAUGGGUGAAAAGAAGGGUGGUGAGAUUAUAUAAUCCCAGUGAGUAAACAAAUACCAUCUAAAAUAUCUAAAACUGAGUAAAUGGAGACAGAUAAAAUAGUUUAACAUAUUGUAAUUCAUCACCUUUCAACUCAUUUCAACCAAAUAAAAUCAAUUCAUAUAAAUUGAGUAAUCAACAUGGCUUAUGAAUUUCUUAAAACUUUGACUCGUGCCAAAUUCAUUUUCAUACUCAGUUAUCGGGGAUACCAUGGUCAAGGGCUAUCCCAAUCGAGUCUGCCAAGGUUGUUAAAAAGUUAUGUACGCAUAAAUCAUGUUUUUAUUUUGAAAACAUAGUCGUUCCUUGGCGUUAGCUGAGUUCACCCUUACGUGGUGGUUUGGUGUGAAGUGAACUCUAUAGUUUUAACCUUAGGAGUUAUCCAACCACGCCUCUCAUACUGAGGUAUGAACAUAAUAGGGUUACCGUGCCCCUCUAAUAGGCUGGUCCAUGGAACCUGUCCACUGCAGCGACCAAUAUAUAACCCACCAAUUCAAUAAAAUUCAAUAGCAUGACAUGGUAAUUAUUUUAUUUUACAGCCUCUCAAGGCAAAUUAACAGUUCAUUCAUUUUCAACACAAAUACCAAUUCAUCCAUUCAUGAAAUUAUUAUCAUAAGCUAUUCAAUUCAAACCAUGAUUUAUAACACAGCAAUUAGUCUCUAAUUACUCGAUUUUCAAAAUCAUCUUUUAAUUUCAAGACAAUUUUAUAAAAUCAUUUUUAUUUAAUCACAUUUUGCUUAUAAAACAUAAAGAUUUACCAUUUAAACUCAUUUUCCAUAAAAUCACAAAAUCAGAUAAAAACCACUUUAGAUAAUUAAGACGAUAGUAAGGUUACUCACUAUUUUAGGAGUCAAAUUUUGAGUACUCCGAUUCUUGAUCCUCGGGUACUAUUUCUUUACUUUUGCUAGAAAGCUCACCACCUAGACAUAAUGCACAAUAAGCCAUUUACUAUAUUUGUGCUAAACCAUUGUCAAACCAAUUCAGGCUUUAUACUAAUGCAUGAAAUGGGAUGUGAAAUACUCGGCUAACUAUCUAAAUACGGUGUUCAAUAUAAAUUCAAUUAUGUACCUAAAUAAAAUGGUAUUGGCCUAAUUCGAUCUAUCACCCGAUUAAUUGGCCAAUACAUCCAAUUUAACUCCAAUUAACUCCAUUUUUUCUUCCAAUCCUCCAAACCAUCAAACACAAGUCAAAUAGCAUAAAAUUUAGCAAAAUCAUCCUCACAUUUCUUCUUGAGAAUUUCGGCCAUGGUGAGUGCAUCAACACUAUGAUUUUUCCUACUUGAUUUUCUCACCAUAAUUCAUCAUUUCCUAACCAAUUCACUUGAAAUAAAAUCAAAUCCACCAUCAACACUCUACAAGGAAGAUUCGGCCAAUGAUGAACUCAUGAGGAAUAUGUGAAUUUCAAGCUUAAUUCUUACACUUAACACCAUAAACAACUAAAAACAUCCAUAUAUCUUAAAAAUCUAUCUAAAUCAUCAUCAAAUUCUCUCUUCUAGGGUUUGAUCAGUACACUAUCCUUCAUGAUAUCUUGUGAUUCAACCAUGGAAAAUGAAAUAUAAUGCAUAGGAAAGAUAGAUCACAAGCUAGAGUUAAGAAAUUUCACCUUUAAUGGCUUGAUUACUUGAAAUCCACCAAUUUUCUCUUGAAUUUUCACUCUAGGGUUUUUGUUCUUCUUUUCUUCUUUUGUUCUUGCUAUGGC
Molecule: long non-coding RNA, 1912 nt
Filed under: Theobroma cacao (cacao)
Lineage: Eukaryota; Viridiplantae; Streptophyta; Magnoliopsida; Malvales; Malvaceae
Description: long non-coding RNA (TCAC_LNC000445)
Source: RNAcentral